AUUGAACGCUGGCGGCAGGCCUAACACAUGCAAGUCGAGCGGAUGAAGGGAGCUUGCUCCUGGAUUCAGCGGCGGACGGGUGAGUAAUGCCUAGGAAUCUGCCUGGUAGUGGGGGAUAACGUCCGGAAACGGGCGCUAAUACCGCAUACGUCCUGAGGGAGAAAGUGGGGGAUCUUCGGACCUCACGCUAUCAGAUGAGCCUAGGUCGGAUUAGCUAGUUGGUGGGGUAAAGGCCUACCCAGGCGACGAUCCGUAACUGGUCUGAGAGGAUGAUCAGUCACACUGGAACUGAGACACGGUCCAGACUCCUACGGGAGGCAGCAGUGGGGAAUAUUGGACAAUGGGCGAAAGCCUGAACCAGCCAUGCCGCGUGUGUGAAGAAGGUCUUCGGAUUGUAAAGCACUUUAAGUUGGGAGGAAGGGCAGUAAGUUAAUACCUUGCUGUUUUGACGUUACCAACAGAAUAAGCACCGGCUAACUUCGUG
RNAcentral lists this ribosomal RNA (484 nucleotides) under uncultured bacterium. RNAcentral describes it as "partial 16S ribosomal RNA". It matches the Rfam family "Bacterial small subunit ribosomal RNA", at positions 30 to 507 of the family's 1533-position model. The record is from RNAcentral.